GAGGGCAUGUGAGGCAAAAUUCUGUAAGCCUCUCCUGACCCCUCGGUAAUAAAAAUAGCCAUGCACACCCCUCUCCACUGUGCCCCCUAGGCUUGGGUGCCGCCCCCCUAGCCACCCCAGCUCCUAGGAAUGAUUGGAAUUCCAGGAGUAUGAUCCUUAGGUGCCCUGGGCGGCUCAUCCCUGGGAGGUGGGCAGGGUGUGGGGGUGGCCUCUGCACCCUUUGAUCCCUUGUUGAGUCUGCCUUCCCUUGCCUGCUUGGGCCCCUAGACGAGCACUGCCCUCUCUAGCAAACCCAAGGGCAUCCUGCUUGGCACCUGUCCCCCUCCAAGGGUCCAAAGGCAAGGGCCCUACCAGCUGGCACCCCCUGCAGAGGCCCUCCUUCCUGCCGCAGGCAUAAACCUUUCUUUGCCCAGGCUGGCCUGGGACCCAAACAAUGGGGCUUCUGUCCCGCCAGGUCUGCCGUCACCUUUUACCUCCCUAUUGUGCAACGCCCUCUCUUCAACAGGUUGGGCCCAGGCCAGAGGUCUCUACCAGCAAAGAGGAUAAAAGAGACUACACCUGGACAAACCCUCCCAGGCCCAGGCCUGAGCCUCACAUGUGGCCCCGGGGAAGGCAUCAGGGACUCCCUUUGCCCUCCCACUGACCUCCCUGCAAACCUCCCCCAAACCAAGGGGCAUCCUCAGCUGGCCAGACCCUGGGGGAAGGGAGAGAGCCGAGGAUCACCGGCACCUGUGGCUGGGUUACCCCUGCCAUGGACCACUGGGUGAUCAAGAAGUCAUUCCAAAAUGUGAAGCGUUCUGAAGAUAUGCACAUAGCGUAAGAACCUGGUGUAAUGUGCUGGUCAAGGCGGUCUCAGAGAGGAGAUGACGUUUGAGCUGACACCUGAGGGAUGAGAAGAAAGCAGCCAUUCCCAGGGCCCAGGGGAGGCAUCCCAGGAAGCCGGAUCAGCAUGAGCAAAAGCCCUGAGGCCUGGCACAAGUUGGUCUGCUUGAGAAGCAGGAGAGAGCCCUGAGCAUCCGGAGUGCAGCAAGCGAGAUGAGCAAGUCAAGAUGCAGAAGGACUCUCUGGCUUGUCCAAGGUCACACGGCUGUUAGGAGCAGAGCAGCGUCCUGGUGCCCAAGCCCUGAGGUCCCCAGCACACUGCCUCUGCAAUGGCCACAACUGUCCAAAGACUAAGCUGACUCUCACACCUGGUAGUGUCUGUGGUCAUUCACUGUGGAUGGAAGUGGAGAAAUGCAGAAAACAGAAACACAGCUUCCCCUUUUCUGUCAUAUUUCUGUAUCGUUGGUGUUUGGAGCCAGUUGAGCACAAAGGGCCCCUGAGUGCUGUUUCCUUGUGAUAUUUGGGGGUUAACAGCUUCCCCUCAUCUCUUAAUUACCUGCCCUCCUUCACUUCAGCUGCACAUUCGUUAAAGAAUGCUCUCCCAGGAGAAGAGCUUGGUGUUAUCACCCACAAACAUCUUAGAAAACUAAUGCUAUCCUUGAGUGCCUGUUUACAGAAACAUUUUUACAUCUCACUUGACAUUUCCAGCAAAUCUUGAUCCUUCCAGCCAGGAAUAUUAAUAUAUAGGUCUUGAAAAGUGCAAGAGGCUCUUCCAUGGCUCCAAGCACAUUUGACACUCUUCCUUUUCUGAUCCCCAAGCAGACAGUGAUGAAACCCCAAUAGCUGGGCGAAUACUCAUCCAACAGGAAGAAUCAGUUUUAAGAGCUGGGUUCUCAGGGUCAAAUACUGUGGUGUGGCCUUUUGGUUGUAAUGAGUUGAAUGGAGGUCUCAAAAAAGAUAUAUCCAUGUUCUAAUCCCCAGAACUUGUGAAUGUGACCUUAUUUGGAAAAAGAGUCCUUUUGGAUGUAAUUAAGUUAAGGAUUUUGAGAUAAGGAGAUCAUCCUGGGUUAUCUGGGUGGACCCUAAAUCUGUUGACAAUGUCCUUAUGAGAGACCCCAGAGGGCACAGACAGGAAAGGAAGAGGCAAUGUGGCCCCAGAGGCUGAGAUCAGAGCUCUGUGGCCACAAUUCGAGGAACACCUGGAGCCACCAGAAGCUGGAGGAGGCAAGGAACAGAUUCUCCCUGAUCCUCUGGAUACAGAGGGAGAAUAGCCUGGCCGACACCUUGAUUUUGGACUUCUGGCCCCCAGAACUGAGAAAAUUAACUUCUGUUGUGUUAAGCAGCCACGUUUGUAGCAGUUCAUCAUAGCAGCCCUGGGAAAGAAAUACAGUGGGCUUCCAGUUCAAGGAGGAUCCACGAGGCCUGAGCUCCAUCUGUCGAUUGGAAUCACCAAAAUCAAGGUUGUGUGCGGGUAACGCCAGCACAAGCAGCUCAUGCUGGCAAAAGCAGACCAAACCGGCUCACGCAACGUCAAGUCAUCUUGAAGUGGUUCACGCACCACAGUGAGUGGUAUUGAUUGUGGUUAAGAGCCAGGUUCAAGGAGGUUUAUCACUCAGUAGCCAGGUAAAGCAGGUUCCAGGCCUGGCUCCACCACUCAACAACCGGGGAAACAGGGGAGCAGACCUGCAGAGGGGCCAGAAGACACCUGGCCGGGUGGGGAGCAGCCCCUCCGUAAUAACAAUCGGAACCUGGGAAGAUAAGUAGAGUCCCAGGGGAGGGACAGAGUUUCCCCUGUGUCACCACAUGGCUACUUUGACACAAAUGCACGUGGGCAGAGAGAGGCAUGCAGGUCAAGGGCCUGGCAGGGAGUCAGGGGCCCUCAGUGCCAGUCCUGGCUCUGCCUCUGCCUCUGACACGCCAUGUGACCUUGAGCAAGUCACCACCCUGUCUGGGCUUCGCUAACCCAUAUACGGAAUGAGAAGGUAUCGUCCCUGGUCACUGCAGGUUUUAAAUCAUGUAGUGAGAGAGAGCUCAUUUGGUCCAACUCUCUGCAACUGAAGGAAUGGAGACACCAAGGGGGAGUAAUCGGCCGCAGUGAUGAGUGGGUGGCAAAGGGAGCUAUCACUACCAUUGAUUAUCCAGCUACUUGUGCUUGAUAAACUCCCUCCUGGUGGAAUGGGCUUUCCCACAUCCAGCAGCACAAAUGCUGUGAGCAUCUACUACGGGCUGGGCACCUUCUCUGGGCUGGCACUUGACAUGGGUUAUCUCAUUUAACUCCCUAACAACCCUAUGUGGUAUUAUCAUCCCCAUUUCACAGGCGGCAAAACUGAAUCCCAGAGAGAAGACUCACUCAGACACAGCUAUCUGAACACUCUUUUCCAGUUCCCCUAGGGCAGCAGAGGAAGCAAGGUGGGGGGAAGCCAGUGGUCAAGGAUUCCAUGCGGAAUGUACCCUAGAAUUAACCCAUGGAGAGAGGGUAAGGGAACGGGCUCAGGCCUGGGAAGAAGUGGGGAGGACAGUGUCCUGUUGACCUAUUCAAAAACAUCCAGUUUUAGUUAAUUUUUAGUUCAUUAGUCACCACUUUUUAUUAGUAUCUCAUGUAUUCUUUCACAGUUUCUUUCUGCAGGUACAAAAAUAAUGAUUUUUUUUCUUUCUUUUUCUUCUUUGAGACAGGGUCUCGCUCUGUUGCCCAGGCUGUAGUACAAUGGUGCAAUCUCGGCUCACUGCAACCUCUGCCUCUGGGUUCAAGCGAUCCUUUGCCUCCGCCUCCUGAGUAGCUGGAAUUACAGGCUUCCAGGAGGGGCCUCCCUGGGCUCCCGGAGGACACCCACAGUCCUCACCAUGCAGCUCCCUCCAACAUCAAGCCAGGAAUGGCCGAACAGAUCUUUCUCAUGCUUCAAAUCUCUGAUGAAUUUCUCUUGCCAGAGAAAGCUUGCCAUUUUCCAAGGGCUCACCCAGUCAGAUCCGUCCAACAAGGGUGAUCUCCCUAACAUUAGGUUAACUGACUUGGAACCUCAGUUAAUCUGCAAAAUCCCUUUUGUCAUAUAAUGGAAUACAAUCAUUUGGUUCACAUGCUCAUCUUAUUCACAGGCCCUACACUCAUACAAGGGCAGGGGACCACAGAAGAGUGAAGGCCAGUGAGGGUCACCUCAGAAUUCUGCCCAACACCGGUGUUUUGUAAUUUGGGUAGAUGUUGCCAUGUUGUCCUCCGUGGGGAUUAUGCAGAGGGAACUCUCCUCCUCCAGCAACAGUACAUGUACCUGCUUUUCCAUGGUGCUGCUUAGAGAAUGUUAUCAAACCUUUGGAUUUCUGCCAGUCUGAUAGGAGAAAAAUGGAAUCUCAAUUGUAUUUUAAAAUUGUAAUUAUCGCCUUAUGAAUAAGGCUGAGCAUUUCCUCAAAAGCAUAAGAGCCAUUUAUAUACUUUUUUCUUUAUGGCUUCUGGUUUUGAGGCAUAGAAAGGUCUUUCUAGCUCUAAAGUUAAUCAGAAAUUCUCUGUUUUCUUUUUGCUUUUUUUAAAAUUUUACUUUAAGUCCUUGGAUACAUGUGCUGAACGUGCAGGUUUGUUACAUAGGUAUACAUGGGCCAUGGUGGUUUGCUGCACCUAUCAACCCGUCAUCUAGGUUUUAAGCUCCACAUGCAUUAGGUAUUUGUCCUAAUGCUCUUCCUCCUCUUUCCCCAUGCCCCCAACAGGCCCCGGUGUGUGAUGUUCCCCUCCCUGUGUCCAUGUGUUCUCAUUGUUUAGCUCCCACUUAUGAGUGAGAACAUGCAGUGUUUGGUUUUCUGUUCCUGUGUUAGUUUGCUGAGGAUGAUGGUUUUCAGCUUCAUCCAGGUCCCUGCAAAGGACAUGAACUCAUUCUUUUUUAUGGCUGCAUAGUAUUCCAAGUUGCAUAUGUGCCACAUUUUCUUUAUCCAGUGUAUCAUUGAUGGGCUUUUGGGUUGCUUCCAAGUCUUUGCUAUCGUAAGUAGUGCUGCAAUAAACAAAUGUAUGCAUGUGUCUUUAUAGUAGAAUGAUUUAUAAUCCUUUGGGUAUAUACCCAGUAAUGGGAUUGCUGGGUCAAAUGGUAUUUCUAGUUCUAGAUCCUCGAGGAGUCGCCACACUGUCUUCCACAAUGGUUGAGCUAAUUUACACUCCCACCAACAGUGUAAACGUGUUCCUAUUUCUCCACAUCCUCACCAGCAUUUGUUAUUUCCAGACUUUUUAAUGAUUGCCAUUCUAACUGGCAUGAGAUGGUAUCUCCUUGUGGUUUUGAUUUGCAUUUCUCAGCUCAUUGCAACCUCUGCCUCCCAGGUUCAAGCAAUUCUCCUGCCUCAGCCUCCAGAGUAGCUGGGAUUACAGGGGCACGCCACCAAGCCCAGCUAAUUUUUGUAUUUUUAGCAGAAACAGGGCUUCACCAUGUUGGCCAGUCUGGUCUCAAACUCCUGAUCUCAAGUGAUCCAUCCACCUCAGCCUCCCAAAGUGCUGGGAUUAUAGGCGUGAGCCACCACGGCUGGCCAUUCUCCUGUGUUUUCUUCUGGGGCUUUUAUACUUUCAUUUUUUAAAAUCCAUAGUUUCUUGGAGCUGGAGGUGUCCCUUGUCAUUUUCUCAUCAGUGAGUGCAAAGCAGGAUCCCAAAAGGAUUGGAGUCCAGAGUAGAGAAAGGAGCUGCCGCGGUGGAGUCUGUUCAGUGCAGGCUCUGAUCUCCUUCAGCCCUGCCAGGAAUCCCAGCCAGCAGAUCUUCUUCCAGCUUCCCUUUCUCCAGCACUCUUGAUCUUCUGGGCUGGCACAGGGUCCAGGGUUGAUGGGGAUCCUAGCUGCCUGAGGAGCUUCCAGUCUGGAGGGUGAUACAAGCACAUGGCCAGACCUGAAUUCAAGCCAUGAGAGAGAUUCAGAACCUGGGCUGGGAGCGCAGGGGAGGGAGCGGGGUGCUGAUGGGGGUGGAUGGGAGGCUCCAGAGAGGAGGUGGCGUCUGAACUGAACCUUAAGAAUGAGGGGAAAUGUAAUGGCAGCGAUGAGAAAGGGGAGGCACUUCAGUGCAGAGAACAGCAAGAGCAAAGACAAGGAGGUGGAAAAUCAGCCAGAAACCUAGCCUGGAGAGGGUUUAGUGGACCAUGGGUCCUUGAUGGUAGAGACACAACAUGACUUAUCUCUGUGUCCCAUCCUCUGUGCCAGAGGCGGCAUCGACCAGACUUGGACAAAUGAAGCAGAAGGGACAGGGGACUUAGAAUACUAGGCUGCAUCAUUUUCUUUUUACUCUGACAGUGAGAAGCAAAGACCUCCACAAAGAAAGAAGCCCUUGGCUGUGUCAUCAUUUUAGAAUCUGGGCACUCUCUGCACACCACUGCCCCCUCAUGGCUGAUCUAGGAAUUCUCUCUAAAUCCCAGACUGAAGGUGAGGAGGAGGCUCAGUGAGUCUUAGAGAUUUGAAAAGCCGUGAAAUCCUGGUUGGAGAACAUCUGAGUCCAAAGGGCCCUCAGAGACUCUCUGACUUCCUCAUUA
This 6296-nucleotide long non-coding RNA is filed under the name Homo sapiens (human). Its description in RNAcentral is "HSALNT0004265". The record is from RNAcentral. Lineage: Eukaryota; Metazoa; Chordata; Mammalia; Primates; Hominidae.